This 297-nucleotide ribosomal RNA is filed under the name Triticum aestivum (bread wheat). RNAcentral's name for it is "partial small subunit ribosomal RNA". The record is from RNAcentral. Lineage: Eukaryota; Viridiplantae; Streptophyta; Magnoliopsida; Poales; Poaceae.
AUGUCUUCUCUAAUUUUGACAGUCCGUGAGUUUAGAGUAUGGUUAUACUUUUGCUUAGGCAGGGUAAUUGCUUUUCUUACUGGUGCUCCUGAUUAUGAAGAUGGUCAACUAGACACUAAGAAAUAUGGUGAGCAAUAUGCUAACAAAGGGGAAGAUGUUGACCUCAUGUUGCUCCCUGAGCAGAUACCUUCCUAUAGAGAUCCGUUAACUCAUGGAGCAAAUCCUUACAGUACCUUCUUCCUGAUGAAUGUAGCUCUGGCGGCAGCACGGGCAGACGAGCAGCAGCAGUACGGGUAG